AAAAUUGUUGUUUGCUAUCAAGAAAAGUGAUGGUGUUGCAGCAAGAUGAUCUAAAUGUAAAUCAAAUGGAGCUGAAUUCUGAACCUGCUUCUCGCGGCUAGCUCGUCUAACAGUGGAAUAUGAGUAGCACAUUUGUAUGCACAACCGUAUUGCAGUAGCUAAAGGGGCUUGUCCCCCUCUCCCUCAUGUCAUUAGCUAUCAAUAAUCAUUACCUAGUUAGCCAUUUGUAGAACAAGGUAAACACAGAGAAAACGAGAUGGAUUAAUUCCUGAUAGAUGAGAUGUAUCCUCUUAUCAUUACUCAAAAAAGGAUACCAGAUAGAUGAGAUGUAUACUCUUAGAAUUACUCGAAAUCACCGAGUUCACUUUCACAUACCUCAAGAUCAGGUAGAACUUUAUAUCUCUAAUUAUCCUCUACUCAAAAAUCAUUUCAAUUACUUGCAAAACCUGCCAUCACCAAGACAUCAACACUUGUAGCAAUAGACAUCGUACAUUAUAAUAUAUAUCAUCGGCUCACCUCAUGUUGCCUAAAUCUACAUGGACCAAUCAAAUAAUUGUAGCCAUAUGAAAGAAAAAACUGAAACAGUUCAAAGAAAGGCAAAGAAUCUUCAGGCUCUGUAGCAACAGUGGGAUUGCUCUUAUUUUCGACAAACUCCUUUUGUGUAGAAGCAGUCAAUCAUGUCUAAAAAAAUCUGGAAACAGCUAGCAGGCUAACAAAUAUGGCAUUAUUACUGCACAUGACUGAAUGCAAAUUACAGUAAGGGGCAUAACCUGUGAAGAUGGCCAUCCGUCCUUGUUGCUGCAAUUGCAUAACUCCAGAUUUAAAAAAAAAAUGACAUUAAGCAACUCAACGAACAUGUGAAAGGCACACCUGUAGUAGGAAGAUUCAGCAGCCACAUGCAGCAAGUCAGGAGUCGUGUAUGAGUAAAUCAGAGAAAGGAGAAAAGAGGAAAUCCAGAACAUAAGCAGGAAGAGAAAUUAGAUCCUUUUUACAUCAAAUCAAGGCUAAAAACGUGUUGAAACAUACCGUUGGGUGUCUAAGGCUUUAUGUUUUCCAGAUCAAAGAAGAAAACGAUCUAGUUUUAAAGAGGAGAGUGAUUAACCUACCUCCAAUCAUCAGGGGCGUGCAGAUCUGAGUAGGGAGUCGAUCCGGAGGAACCAGCGUGCACCAAGCCCCGCCGCCUCAACAGGAGCUCCUCUCCCUGCCCUCCGGCCGGCUUGGCAUAGAUGAGGGAAGCCAUGAGGAAGGUAAGGUCUGGGGCGACCUAGAAAAAGCAGCAAAAUAAUUGAAACAAAGUGCACACAUAAGAAUUGUUGCCAUAAUUCCGUGGGUCGCGCGCGUGUCUCGGCGAGACUUGGUCUGUUCGUUUCCAUCGGGCGAGAAGCCGUUGGCUAGCUCUAGCCUGGUAGCGUACACUGAUCGAUCCAUCCACCAGCUUCAGCUUGUACGUGGUUGUCCUCUGCAGAAUCCAUCCACCAGUGUGUUAGCUUAGCUAGGCUAGCUUACAUGUUGGUCACUCUCACCCAUAAGCACCAGCCGGCGAAGAAAUUGCAUUGUAAAGAAAGUCGGAUAGGUACUCAGGCAUAUGGCCCCAACGCCAGUACGCCACCGACGUCGGUGGCGUUUGACCUGCUCAACACGCCCCAACUCCUUGAUCAAUCCAUGCACCUCGAUGCUCCUGCAGGUCUCGCUUGGCUACCAGAUACAGGCUUUCUCUGUUAAUUGCUUUGGCUGUCUUUGUCUUCGUGCUAAUGGAGGUGUCCUCACGUGAACUGCAAUUGGAACCAUGUUACAUGGCGUGAUGAUGAUC
Molecule: long non-coding RNA, 1810 nt
Filed under: Triticum aestivum (bread wheat)
Lineage: Eukaryota; Viridiplantae; Streptophyta; Magnoliopsida; Poales; Poaceae
Description: long non-coding RNA (TAES_LNC022347)
Source: RNAcentral